GUUAUCUUCAAUCUUCUUCAUCGCUGAUUCUGUGGUAAGGGGGUACUUGAGAAUUUGGUACUGAUCAAGCUUGUUCCUUCCGGUAGUGCUGAUUCGUGGGUACUUGGGGUCCCUAGCCUUCUUCAGGGUCGUGGGGCGGUGAAAUGUCACAGACGUGCGGAUCUUCUUGGUCUUCUUCUUGGCUGCCCCAGACUUCACAGCCUUGGCAACCUUCAAGGCCUGGGUC
RNAcentral lists this long non-coding RNA (226 nucleotides) under Zea mays. Its description in RNAcentral is "long non-coding RNA (ZMAY_LNC000766)". The record is from RNAcentral. Lineage: Eukaryota; Viridiplantae; Streptophyta; Magnoliopsida; Poales; Poaceae.